AAAAGUUGGAUCCGCAUCAAAGUCCGCGCUUAGACGCGAAGGAAAACGCAGAUCCGCGCCAAAGUCCACGUCCUAACACGAAGGUAGACACGGAUUGCAUCUCUCUUAUCCGAAGUAGGAUUGAAGAAUUCCGCCCCUCAUCAACCCUAGGUCAUAUAAAUACAUCCUAAAAUACCACUUUGAGGUGAGAAAUCACUUUAGAGAUAUCUAACAUACCUUGAAGGGAGUUUCAUGUGGAGGAACACCCCAUGCUUAGAGGAGGAUUCUAACUACUUUUUCUUCUCUUCUUUUCCUAUAAUUUCAUAGUUUAUUAGUUCUAGAGUUUGGGUGGUGUAUGAACGUUGUGGUUUGAAGUUUGAAUUGUUCUUAUUAUUUUUUUCAUAUUGGUUUAUUUAUUCAAUCUUGCGCAGAAUUAUUU
Molecule: long non-coding RNA, 418 nt
Filed under: Nicotiana benthamiana
Lineage: Eukaryota; Viridiplantae; Streptophyta; Magnoliopsida; Solanales; Solanaceae
Description: long non-coding RNA (NBEN_LNC015300)
Source: RNAcentral